CCCUUAGAUGUUCUGGGCCGCACGCGUGCUACACUGAGUGGAUCAGCGGGUCAGGUUGCGCGAAAGCGUUUCCUAAUCUUUAAAUCCGCUCGUGAUGGGGAUUGACGGUUGCAAUUUUCUGUCAUGAACGAGGAAUACCUUGUAAGCGCGGGUCAUCAUCCCGCGCUGAAUACGUCCCUGCCCUUUGUACACACCGCCCGUCGCUCCUACCGAUUGAGUGGUCCGGUGAACUCUUGGGACUGCCAGAUUCACCUCCGGCAUAAGUUGAAUGAACCUUACCAUUUAGAGGAAGGUGAAGUCGUAACA
This 306-nucleotide ribosomal RNA is filed under the name uncultured eukaryote. RNAcentral describes it as "partial 18S ribosomal RNA". It matches the Rfam family "Eukaryotic small subunit ribosomal RNA", at positions 1470 to 1796 of the family's 1831-position model. The record is from RNAcentral.